CGGUGAGUAAUACGUGAGUAACCUGCCCUUGACUCUUGGGAUAAGCCCGGGAAACUGGGUCUAAUACUGGAUGCUACAUGUCACCGCAUGGUGGUGUGUGGAAAGGGUUUACUGGUCUUGGAUGGGCUCACGGCCUAUCAGCUUGUUGGUGAGGUAAUGGCUCACCAAGGCGACGACGGGUAGCCGGCCUGAGAGGGUGACCGGCCACACUGGGACUGAGACACGGCCCAGACUCCUACGGGAGGCAGCAGUGGGGAAUAUUGCACAAUGGGCGAAAGCCUGAUGCAGCGACGCCGCGUGAAGGGAAUGACGGCCUUCGGGUUGUAAACCUCUUUCAGCAGGGAAGAAGCCACAAGUGACGGUACCUGCAGAAGAAGCGCCGGCUAACUACGUGCCAGCAGCCGCGGUAAUACGUAGGGCGCAAGCGUUGUCCGGAAUUAUUGGGCGUAAAGAGCUCGUAGGCGGUUUGUCGCGUCUGCUGUGAAAGCCCGGGGCUUAACCCCGGGUGUGCAGUGGGUACGGGCAGACUAGAGUGCAGUAGGGGAGACUGGAAUUCCUGGUGUAGCGGUGGAAUGCGCAGAUAUCAGGAGGAACACCGAUGGCGAAGGCAGGUCUCUGGGCUGUUACUGACGCUGAGGAGCGAAAGCAUGGGGAGCGAACAGGAUUAGAUACCCUGGUAGUCCAUGCCGUAAACGUUGGGCACUAGGUGUGGGGGACAUUCCACGUUUUCCGCGCCGUAGCUAACGCAUUAAGUGCCCCGCCUGGGGAGUACGGCCGCAAGGCUAAAACUCAAAGGAAUUGACGGGGGCCCGCACAAGCGGCGGAGCAUGCGGAUUAAUUCGAUGCAACGCGAAGAACCUUACCAAGGCUUGACAUAUACCGGAUCGUUCCAGAGAUGGUUCUUCCCCUUUGGGGUCGGUAUACAGGUGGUGCAUGGUUGUCGUCAGCUCGUGUCGUGAGAUGUUGGGUUAAGUCCCGCAACGAGCGCAACCCUCGUUCCAUGUUGCCAGCACGUGAUGGUGGGGACUCAUGGGAGACUGCCGGGGUCAACUCGGAGGAAGGUGGGGAUGACGUCAAAUCAUCAUGCCCCUUAUGUCUUGGGCUUCACGCAUGCUACAAUGGCCGGUACAAAGGGUUGCGAUACUGUGAGGUGGAGCUAAUCCCAAAAAGCCGGUCUCAGUUCGGAUUGAGGUCUGCAACUCGACCUCAUGAAGUCGGAGUCGCUAGUAAUGGCAGAUUCAGCAACG
Molecule: ribosomal RNA, 1247 nt
Filed under: Kocuria palustris
Lineage: Bacteria; Bacillati; Actinomycetota; Actinomycetes; Micrococcales; Micrococcaceae
Description: bacterial SSU rRNA
Rfam family: Bacterial small subunit ribosomal RNA
Source: RNAcentral